Molecule: ribosomal RNA, 253 nt
Filed under: uncultured bacterium
Lineage: Bacteria
Description: partial 16S ribosomal RNA
Rfam family: Bacterial small subunit ribosomal RNA
Source: RNAcentral
UACAGAGGGUGCAAGCGUUAAUCGGAAUUACUGGGCGUAAAGCGUGCGCAGGCGGUUUUGUAAGUCAGAUGUGAAAUCCCCGGGCUUAACCUGGGAACUGCGUUUGAAACUACAAGGCUAGAGUGUGACAGAGGGGGGUGGAAUUCCACGUGUAGCAGUGAAAUGCGUAGAGAUGUGGAGGAACACCGAUGGCGAAGGCAGCCCCCUGGGUUAACACUGACGCUCAGGCACGAAAGCGUGGGGAGCAAACAGG